UGCCUGGCCUCCCUGCUGAUUACAAAGAGGCCCUGGUUCUAGACUGCCCACAGGAGAGCUGUCCUUUGUUUCAGUCCAUGAAAACUUUUAGAAGACAAGGGAGGCCAGACAUAGACACUGUUGCUGCAGCCACUGCAAAGGCAAAUUCCCAAGGGAGAGAGACAGCAGCCUUAAGGAAAACGGAAGCCAUUAUCAGUCCAGAAAGAUACGUGCAGCCUCAGAAAGGGGAGAACCUGUGGCCAAAACGAAUAGAAGAGAGCACGGUCUGUGAAUGAGGAAGUGGCAAUGCAAAAGAGGGUCGUGUGAAACUUCUCAGGGCUGCAAGAGACCUGUAACUGCUGGGCUGCUGUUUUUCCUGAUAUGAAGCCUAUUCUUUAGAGGAUGUCCUCCAAGGAUUGUCUGAACAUGUCGAUAUCUGCCAUCCUGCACGGACGACUCUUCCAACUUGAAUUUGAUUUUUUUCAGACUCCAGGAGCCCCAAUGAAUUAAAAAAAAAAAAAGUUGUUUGAG
This 510-nucleotide long non-coding RNA is filed under the name Equus asinus (donkey). RNAcentral's name for it is "lncRNA (ENSEASG00005035214.1)". Lineage: Eukaryota; Metazoa; Chordata; Mammalia; Perissodactyla; Equidae. The record is from RNAcentral.